Molecule: long non-coding RNA, 2292 nt
Organism: Sarcophilus harrisii (Tasmanian devil)
Lineage: Eukaryota; Metazoa; Chordata; Mammalia; Dasyuromorphia; Dasyuridae
Source: Ensembl
CUUCAUUCAUUUGGUCCAAGAAAGAUUAUUAUAAUUUCUAUUUAGCCAGUUAAUGUGAUCUAUAAGUUUUUGCUUACAGGUGAUUCCAUGAAAAUGUCUGGAUUGGCACUUAUUUUAUGGCUAAUUUAAUCUGCAGUUUAAGACCACUGUUGUGACUAGAAUGGAUUGACUAAGAACAAGAGAGAAUAAGGUCCCUUUUGUUUUUUUAAAGGAGGAAAUUGAGGCCCACAGAAGACAUGUGACUUGUUCAGGUAUAGAAAUGAUCAGUCUUCCAAAACAUGAUCAAAGCUGUCUCCAUCCUCUAUACCACAGCUGUCUCCUAAUGGAGCAUAUAAAACUUGGGAGUCAGUUGCUACUAACACUCCUAGGCUAUUAUUAAACCUGACCCUCACACCAUGUCCAAUAGAAAACUAAAUCAGCGGCUGGCCAUUGAAAAGCUAGGUCUAAUGUGAUGGAUUAGGUUACAACAGUCUCAAGUACCCAGGGAAGAGAGCAGAACAUCUGAAAGCAACCAGCUGCAGGGUCAGAGCUGCAAAGUAUACAGAACUGUCACAAAAGCUACUUUUUGCUUAGAACAGUCUUCUAGGCUUCCUGCCACCUCAGAGCAAUGUUUUUUAAAGAAGGUAGGGAUUUAAUAAGUCGUUUAUCUGAUUUCCUUUGCCAACCAAAAGUUCUUCCCAGUUUAUAAGGGAUGGGAUGGUAAACUGAGAACAAAGGGCAAAGCCGACCAUGACAAAUGACAAAAAAUAGUAAAGGUUGAAGAAUCACUUAAUGCAAAAGCCUCUGGAAAAAACGGUUUCCAAGGGUAUUGAGAAGGUGUGCAAAUGCCGUUUAUAAUGAAAACCUAAGAAAUCAAAGAAAAUCUAAAUUUUUGUUUAAUACAAAUAUGAAAAUGUGUUGAUAUUUACUUGAGAGCUUGAUAAAAGUAAUUUUUUUUUUUAAGUUUUGGCAUUUGAAGGAUUAAGCUUCAGUAAAAUGGAAAAUUCACUAAAGUGAAACAUUCUGGUCCUUGGACUUAUUUAUGCUAAAUAAAUUAUUAUACAUAGAUACUACUUUGCCAUGAUUGACUUUGUCAGAUGGUAUAAACUACUUUCUAUAUUAUUAUUAUUAUCUGGAUGACCUCUUUUUUUCUCACAUUACUAUUAACAAGACAUCCCUUCUGUUUCAGAAGUACUGCCUUGAAUUUAAGAAAGUUGUAAAAAAAAAUGUGACAGCAAAAUGGCAUCAUGUAGAAAAAAUGUAUACUAUUGAAUUGAUAUACUUUCUAGGAUAAAGGCCAUUUAUAAUCCACUUGAUUUCUUGUCUUUUUAUUUAAAGUAAAAUAAAUAAUAAAAAGGUCAGUUCAUUUUUACUGAUUUCUACUUUCUUUUUGAUGAGUGAUUUUAUAAGGUUACAUUUGACAUCUUUCAGAAUUAUUUUUGAAAAUAUAUAGCAAUCUGAAAUUUAAAAAUCUGUUACUAUAUUUGAGUACAAUUUGAAUCUUUAGCAACAAUGUCAUCAAAAUAUUUGGUUUGACUGCCAUUUAAUCAUAAUGUAGAAAAAAGUGGUACUAAGAAAAAAGAAAUAGAACCUCUGGUCUAUGUGAAAAACAACCACAAAUCAGGGGGAAGCUCCUGAUAGUCCCCCAGCUUCAAUUCUAGUCCAAACCCACAUUAUAGGCUUUACUAAUGAAGAUUAAAUUGAUUCUCUACCAAAUUUUAUGUGGUACUGAAAAGUAGGGGAUGAGGAGAAAGGAGGAAUACUGGUUUUAUCUGUAAGAAUCCAUUAAUUGCAAUUCUUUAAAAAAAUGCUUGGUUUGGACUAAUAUAAGAUUCUAUUCAUAAACUUUAUCCUAACUUACUGGUACAACACUUUAAACUAUACCUACGUAAAUACAUUCUUCUCAAAUUUGGAAUACAUCUCCAGCAGCAAAGGAAACACACACACACACACACACACACACACACACACACACACACCAAAGACGACCAGAUCACAGAACAGUCUCUGGAAAUUAGAAAUGGAAUGGAAUUCCCCACAGUAAAUGUAUACAAGAUAUUGUUCUAAAUACGCACUGCAAUCCAACAUUUUUAUUUCUAGUACCACAUUAAAAUGAUUGAGAAAAAGGAGGCCUGCUCACUGCAGGAAGCUCUGUGACCAAAGGGCUCCAUAAAUACCCCCAUCCUCAAAGAAGGAAGAAGGGACCCCAACCAUAUAGUUACCCCUGCCAUUUGGCCCUCAGGCCAGCCUCCUUGCUGUGAUGAUUAUUUCAUGGGACUGAUCCUUAACUUAUAGAGCCACCACAGAGAGAAG